This is a long non-coding RNA of Glycine soja, 2048 nucleotides long. RefSeq lists it as uncharacterized. NCBI's taxonomy places the organism in Eukaryota, Viridiplantae, Streptophyta, Magnoliopsida, Fabales, Fabaceae. The transcript has 3 exons. The record is from RefSeq and is a predicted model, not a curated record.
UCCUAUGUUCACCACCUCGAAGAAGAAAAUAAAAUCAUGACUUUCUGCGCUGCAUCGAUGUUGUGUCCCCGUGACAAGUUGAUUGUUAGAAUAAAAACAUUAAGCAUAUAAAGCGAGUUAUCGUUAUCUGUUAUCACUUUUCUCUUUUUUCCGAUUCCGAUUCCGAUUCCAAUGCAGAGAUCUGGUUAUGGAUCCGACGGAAUAUACAGUUCUCUCAGACCCAAAGCUCUCACUCGUUUCUCAUCUUUUCAGCAAACUCUUCAGAAACACUUUCAUUCGCGGAGCUCAAGUUGUUAACAGUUAAAGUCGCUCACGGCCUUCUUCGUCUCGGAAUGACGAAAAACGACGUCGUUCUCUUCCUCGCCCCCAACGACUCCAAACCCUAACUCGUUAUCACCGUCGACGAAUUGUGGGACAAACUUGAACAAUUCCCACGCAUUUGGAGGGAGAGGUUGUCAUAGCCCUUCAUUGAAUGAAAAUUUCAGAAGCCAGCGUAAUAAUGGUUUCUCAUUUUAUUGCAUUUGGAGCUUUGACCAUUAGCAGUGGAACUUAUUUCCAAGGCUGGAUAGGUUAUGUACAUAUGUUUUAAUAUUGUGCUUGAAUCUGCCUGUUCUGCUUUUAUACAAUUAUACAUUUCCCUGGCUCUUUCUUGUCUAUAAAACACUGAUUAGUUUAAGUUUAGCGGCGCUUGAUAUUGUCUUGUAGGGAUAAAUUCGGAAGCAGCACAGACUAGAACAAAAUUGGUUCUGUCGUGACCUUAAACAUGUUAGUUGUAUAUGAUAAAAGUAAAAAGGACAUGGUCUGGAUUCUAAAAUGUACACUCUAGUUUGUUGAAAACAGACUACUAUCUUGUUAUAGUGUUCUUGUUAGGCUGCUUUAUGUAUAGCAGAAAUGGGUUUGCAGUUAUUAGUAUAAAGGUUUUCAGGUAUGAAAUCCAACUGUCAUUUCAAGGGUGAAUGCACAAUUUGUCUGGCAUGUCGUAAUGCAUGCAUGGGCACAUGUCUGAAAUCUCAAUGAAAUUCCCCGUUUAGAAAGAUAAUCUGUUACUUUGGUAGUUUGGUGCAUUAAUAUAUCAUAAACCCCAAAUUGUAUUAGAAAGUCAAGUUUGGUAACUUCGGUGCAUAAUGCUUUUGCUGCUCUGCAUUGUGUAAUUAUUUGUGUUUAUAACCUUCUGGUUAUUCUUGGUGAUGAACAUUUUUGGCGAAGGGUUUUCACCGUACUGGAUUAUUUGCUAUUUCCCUCAUUGUUCCAACUAGGUUGCGCCAGCAGAACUUGAAGGGCUUCUGGUUUCUCGCUCUGAAAUACUUGAUGCUGUUGUCAUUCCAUAUCCUGAUGCUGAAGUUGGCGAGGUUCCAGUUGCCUAUGUCUUUCGUUCACCCAAUAGUUCACUAACAGAGGAAGGCGAUCAAAAAUUUGCUAAGCAGGUAGCGCCUUUCAAAAGAUUACUAAGAGUGACAUUCAUCAAUGCUGUUCCUAAGACAGCAUCGGGAAAAUUCUUCAAAGGGAGCUUAUUGAGAAAGUAAGAUCCAAAAUAUGAUGAUAUCAGGAUGUAUUUUUUUUUUUUCAAAACCAUUUGGGGGUUUAAUAAAUUCUGAAGUAGAAUGCAAGUCCAGAGCAAAUCUGAAAAGGUAUGCUGGUUGCCAUAGUGGAUCAAAUUUGUAUCCGGCUGGAAACAAAUGCUCACUGAAAAUACUUGUAUUUUGGGAAAAAUACAAGUCUUACAUCGGCUAAAAAUAAAGACAAGUUAGAAUAUAUAAGUGAGAGACAAUCCUUACCUAUAAAGCUAGCUUUUAAAGUUGAAUUAAACUUACUCUCACAUUUUAAGAGCUAUACUAGCCAAUACUUGCUUGACUAAGGAAUACUCAAUUUUACUCCUAUGUCUUGACUUCUCACAGGAAGUCAAAGGUCCUAAUAAGAGACUCUAGUACUCUUUAAUGGUCUUUUAUUGGUUGAUAUUUGUGCCAAAUUAGCUGGAAAAUAAUUGCAAAGAUGUAGAAAUCUGCAGAAGUAACCAUUUCAUCAAAUAAAGAAGGAUAUGCAAUAAUUUA